Molecule: long non-coding RNA, 194 nt
Organism: Chelonia mydas (Green sea turtle)
Lineage: Eukaryota; Metazoa; Chordata; Testudines; Cheloniidae
Exons: 3
Source: RefSeq, a predicted model, not a curated record
UCUCAGGAGGUCAUCUAGUCCAACCCCCUGCUCAAAGCAGGACCAAUCCCCAAUUUUUGCCCCAGAUCCCUAAAUGGUCCCCUCAAGGAUUGAACUCACAACCCUGGGUUUAGCAGGCCAAUGCUCAGCCCAAUGCUCAACCCAGUGAGCUAUCCCUUCCAUCCCCUCCACUACCUUUGAGUUUACCCUUUCUC